AACGCGAAGAACCUUACCAACUUUUGACAUGUCCCGUAUGGGUUUCGGAGAUGAGAUCCUUCAGUUCGGCUGGCGGGAACACAGGUGCUGCAUGGCUGUCGUCAGCUCGUGUCGUGAGAUGUUGGGUUAAGUCCCGCAACGAGCGCAACCCUCGGCCUUAGUUGCCAUCAUUCAGUUGGGCACUCUAAGGCGACUGCCGGUGAUAAGCCGGAGGAAGGUGGGGAUGACGUCAAGUCCUCAUGGCCCUUACAGGUUGGGCUACACACGUGCUACAAUGGCGGUGACAAAGGGACGCGAAGGCGCAAGCCUUGGCAAAUCUCAAAAAGCCGUCUCAGUUCGGAUUGGGGUCUGCAACUCGACCCCAUGAAGUUGGAAUCGCUAGUAAUCGCAGAUCAGCACGCUGCGGUGAAUACGUUCCCGGGUCUUGUACACACGC
Molecule: ribosomal RNA, 436 nt
Filed under: uncultured bacterium
Lineage: Bacteria
Description: bacterial SSU rRNA
Rfam family: Bacterial small subunit ribosomal RNA
Source: RNAcentral